ACCCGAUUCGAACGUUAUCACUCGAUUGAAUGGGGCGUUAUCAGCAGUUAUCAGCCCAUAGAAAUGGGCCAGGAGGGGCCUCCUGCGCCUACCAGUAGGCUCAGAAGGCCGUGAUCAUCCAUCCAAAUGGUUGAUCACCCACAAAUAUACAAGAGAAGACUCCAGAUCCAAUCCCAGAAUUCCUGCUCACCGGUAAUCGGAAGUCUACUGGACGAAUGCGGGAACGUUGCGAUAUUUCCUGCUUAAUAUUUUCAGCAUACAUCUCCAGCUGGUUGCAAGGACUUCUGUGGCAAGUUUGUUUUAUUACUUCCAUGCUCUAUGUCUUUGUUGAACUAUCCAAAAUUUGAUUUUGGGCUGUUUAGAAUUUAUUGUUCACAAAUCUGUCUUGUGCAAGUUUCUCUCUGUUUAUGUUUUAGGUUGAAGAUGGCCCAGAGAGGUUAGCCUUACAGUUGCUGAUCUAGAAGCAUUAGGCAAGAGUGUCUGAGAACAAUGAGAGAACUCCCAUUAAUGGGAAUCAAAAGGAAACCCUGAAAUCAUGUUUUAAGGAUGGAAUGACACGAGUUGGUUCAGAAUUAAUACCAAGAGCUGCAUCAGCUACUGGUUUGGACACCAGUGUCGUAGAAAUAAGGUUUACUUUUGUGCCACACUAACAAACAUCAUGUCAAAUAAAUAAAUCAUUCUGCUGCACUGCUUGUAUAAAUGAAGUGUUUUGUUAACAUUCGGUUUAAUUGGUGUAAUACCCUUUUGCUAUUUUUUUGUUUUUCAGAACUGGAUAGGUAAUUACAAAAGAUCACAAAUGACUAAUGCUUCGUCUGAGCCCCGGUCAUCAAAGGCCAAAGUUCACAUUAGAGAGCUGUCGCCUUACAAUCUUUUUUAUAGGGACAUAUUCAAAAACAAAGGCACAAUGAAUGAUAUUAAGGGCAGGUGCGCCACAUUGGGGGAAGAUGCAAAGCAGAAAUACAUUCAAGAGGCAGCAGCACUGAGGGCACAUGGGCAGUCACAGGACACUAAACCCUGAGAUGGAGGCAAUUUGUGCUGUGUCUGCCGCGUCCAUUUUGAUGAUAAGAAGAAGAAUGCAAGAAAGAAGUGGCGCUCAUGGUCUCAGUGCACAGUGUGCCAAUCAUGGUCACACACAGGACGUGGCUUUAAAAAGAACAUGUGCGUUCACUGUCAGGGUCAAGACACCAUGCUAACACCCUGAAGAUGUAUCUUGUUACUUGUUUGGGUUGUUUUUACUGUGUUGACGGCCCCCAACCCAUCCAUACAAACACACACACACAAUACAUACAUAUGCUGCAAAUUUAUUGUAAUGACCACACUUCACACGUAAGAAGAAAAUUGUGAUCUUUUUGUUAUUUUCAUUCACCCCAUUUUUAUUUAUUAUUGUUGUUUGUUGGCACCAUCAAUGUGUUCUCCUUUAUACAGAACUUAUGUGGGGACCAAUAAAGUUAUAUUGUACUGAAUUGAGUCUAAUAUAUAUAUAUAUAUACACACACCUGUUUCAUCAUUGGUUCAGUAGGGCUGGGUUUUAGCAAGGACCUCACCAUAAUAUUCACAACAGUGGGUCAGAGUAUGAUUUCAUGUUAUGAUUAGAUGCUUCACAUAACUUUAUAUUUUUCACAGUUUUGCUGUCACUAGGAGAUGCUUGGCAAAAAAUAUAUUGAAAAGAUGGUUAGUGGUACUUGUAGAAACUUUGGUAUACAGCUGAACACUACAAUUUAUUUAUUUUAAAUUUAAAUGGUUUAUAUGGCAUUGCUUACUUCCACUCUGAAGUAUUUUCUUCACAAUUACUGUUACGCUUUUAUUUUAAUGAUAAACAUUUAAGAGAAAAUGUGAAGGGUAUCAUUUUAUCUGUGUUAAGGAUAUCAAUUGUUUCUCCUUGGAUUCAGAUAAAUAAAGUUUAUUGUCAGUUUAUGUGA
Carassius gibelio (silver crucian carp) is the source of this 1919-nucleotide long non-coding RNA. RefSeq lists it as uncharacterized. The transcript has 5 exons. The record is from RefSeq and is a predicted model, not a curated record. Lineage: Eukaryota; Metazoa; Chordata; Actinopteri; Cypriniformes; Cyprinidae.